RNAcentral lists this ribosomal RNA (465 nucleotides) under uncultured spirochete Nc26. Its description in RNAcentral is "bacterial SSU rRNA". It matches the Rfam family "Bacterial small subunit ribosomal RNA", at positions 1072 to 1533 of the family's 1533-position model. The record is from RNAcentral. Lineage: Bacteria; Pseudomonadati; Spirochaetota; Spirochaetia; Spirochaetales.
GUGUUGGGUUAAGUCCCGCAACGAGCGCAACCCCUACUGCCAGUUACUAACAGGUAAAGCUGAGGACUCUGGCGGGACUGCCGGUGACAAACCGGAGGAAGGUGGGGAUGAGGUCAAGUCAUCAUGGCCCUUAUGUCCAGGGCUACACACGUGCUACAAUGGGUGGUACAAAGCGAAGCGAGUCCGCGAGGAACGAGCGAAACGCCGAAAGCCAUCCGUAGUUCGGAUUGAAGUCUGAAACCCGACUUCAUGAAGUUGGAAUCGCUAGUAAUCGCGCAUCAGCAUGGCGCGGUGAAUACGUUCCCGGGCCUUGUACACACCGCCCGUCACACCAUCCGAGUUGGAGGUACCCGAAGCCGGUAGUCUAACCGCGAGGGGGACGCUGUCGAAGGUACGUUUAGUGAGGAGGGUGAAGUCGUAACAAGGUAGCCGUACUGGAAAGUGCGGCUGGAUCACCUCCUUUCU